UCGGAGGCAGCAGUGAGGAAUAUUGCGCAAUGGGGGGAACCCUGACGCAGCAACGCCGCGUGAAGGAUGAAGGUUUUCGGAUUGUAAACUUCUUUGAUGAGGGACGAAUAAUGACGGUACCUCAAAAACAAGCCACGGCUAACUACGUGCCAGCAGCCGCGGUAAUACGUAGGUGGCGAGCGUUGUCCGGAAUUACUGGGUGUAAAGGGCGUGUAGGCGGGGAUAUAAGUCAGAUGUGAAAUCCCGAGGCUUAACUUCGGGGCUGCAUCUGAAACUAUGUUUCUUGAGUGCUGGAGAGGAAAGCGGAAUUCCUAGUGUAGCGGUGAAAUGCGUAGAUAUUAGGAGGAACACCAGUGGCGAAGGCGGCUUUCUGGACAGUAACUGACGCUGAGGCGCGAAAGCGUGGGGAGCAAACAGGAUUAGAUACCCGCGUAGUCC
Molecule: ribosomal RNA, 438 nt
Filed under: uncultured bacterium
Lineage: Bacteria
Description: bacterial SSU rRNA
Rfam family: Bacterial small subunit ribosomal RNA
Source: RNAcentral